GACGAACGCUGGCGGCGUGCUUAACACAUGCAAGUCGAACGGAAAGGCCCUGCUUUUGUGGGGUGCUCGAGUGGCGAACGGGUGAGUAACACGUGAGUAACCUGCCCUUGACUUUGGGAUAACUUCAGGAAACUGGGGCUAAUACCGGAUAGGAGCUCCUGCUGCAUGGUGGGGGUUGGAAAGUUUCGGCGGUUGGGGAUGGACUCGCGGCUUAUCAGCUUGUUGGUGGGGUAGUGGCUUACCAAGGCUUUGACGGGUAGCCGGCCUGAGAGGGUGACCAGCCACAUUGGGACUUAGAUACGGCCCAGACUCCUACGGGAGGCAGCAGUGGGGAAUAUUGCACAAUGGGCGGAAGCCUGAUGCAGCAGCGCCGCGUGCGGGAUGACGGCCUUCGGGUUGUAAACCGCUUUCGCCUGUGACGAAGCGUGAGUGACGGUAAUGGGUAAAGAAGCACCGGCUAACUACGUG
This 468-nucleotide ribosomal RNA is filed under the name uncultured bacterium. RNAcentral's name for it is "partial 16S ribosomal RNA". It matches the Rfam family "Bacterial small subunit ribosomal RNA", at positions 28 to 507 of the family's 1533-position model. The record is from RNAcentral.